UUCGUCUCUUUCUUGAUGUGGUGACCGGCGCAGGUGUGCAACGCCGCUCGCGGCGCGACAGCACCAAAGUCUCAUUAUUCACCAAGAAACGAAAGGGCGAAUUGCCCACCUCCUUUUUUCUGCGCAUCUUUUUCUCUCUGCUUCUCUGUUUCUCUUUGAAAAAUGAAAACGAGUUGUCGUCUCCCUAUCCCUCUCAUCCGUCUUGCCUCCGCCCCCCCCCCCCCCCCGAAAACAGAGCGUUAGGCCCAUAAGAAACACAUCAAUUCUAGCGUCUCAUCCCUAUCACAUCUUUUGGUGCGCUCCUUGACGGACUAAACACGCUCCCAUUUCUCCCUCUGGAAGGCUCUACAAGCCAAUGAAAACGGACAGGUUGCCAAACACUCAGCUAUUUCCGUGUCCACAGAGCUCAAAACAUUUCUAUUCGCCUCGACCAUCCGCAAUCAUCCGUUUCUUCUCUAGACAGGCACACACAAACGCACACACGCCACAGCAAGCCUCCCACCCUCUCACUCCAUUCCCGCGGCAGCCAUGAGCGCCUCCCUCAAGAAGACGGCACUCCACAGCUUCCAUCUCGCUCAGCAAGCGAAGAUGGAUGCAUUCGCGGGCUAUCACAUGCCCAUUUCCUAUGGCAGGUUUGGUGUGCUGAAGGAGCACUUGUACACUCGCCAGGUCGCCGGCAUAUUUGACGUAUCGCACAUGGGUCAGUAUGAGGUUCGCGGCGCGGACCGUGAGAAGUUCAUGGAGCACGUCACCCCGGUGGACCUCCAGCGCACCCGGGCCGGACAAGGGGCGCUGACUAUGCUGACGAACGCGCAAGGAGGCAUCAAAGACGACUGCAUCGUGACGAGGAUGGCCGACCAUCUGUUCCUUGUGCUGAACGCUGGGUGUAAGGAGAAGGAUGUGGCGCACAUGGAGCGUGUGCUGCGUGAGGGCGCGAUGAAGGGUGCGGAUGUGCAGCUUGUGCCGCUGGAUCGCUCGCUUAUCGCGCUGCAGGGCCCGCAGGCCGCCGCGAUCCUCUCCGAGUUCAUGGAUGACGUGCCGGACAUGGGCUUCAUGCAGUGCCGCCAGAGGGUGAGCAUCAAGGGCAUGGAGGUGCAGGUGACGCGGUGCGGCUACACGGGCGAGGACGGCUUCGAAAUGUCUGUGUCGAACACGGACAUUGUAGCGUUUGUGGAGCUCCUCAUGUCGAGGAAGGCGGAAAUGAUCGGCCUGGGUGCUCGCGACAGCCUUCGUCUGGAGGCGGGGUUGAACCUGUACGGUCACGAGCUGACCGAGGAUAUCAACCCUGUGGCGGCUCGCUUCAUGUGGGCGAUUUCGAAGCGCCGAAUGGCGGAGGGCGGCUUCAUUGGCUACGAGCCGAUUAAGUACUUCCGGGACAACGCUAGCAAGGGCGCUGUGCCGCGGCUGCGAGUGGGCCUCGUUUCCACUGGUCCGGUUGCUCGUGAGAAGACUGUCAUCGAGGUGGGUGGGAAGCCGGUGGGCGAGGUGACCAGUGGCUGUCCGUCUCCGUGCUUGAAAAAGAACAUCGCCAUCGGCUACCUCGACCGUAAGCUGGCCAAGGAUGGCGCGAAGGUGGACCUGGUUGUGCGGGGCCGCCGCGUGGCUGCUGAGGUGGUCACUCCGCCGUUCGUGCCUACCCGGUACUACCGCAAGCCCAAAUGAAACGCCCGUGCUCCGACAAAUACAGGCUACGUAACCGAUGUAACGUCGAAUGACCGAGGAAAGUAAAUGCGACGCAGGGAGCCUGGAGGAAGAAGGCGAGAGAGCUGUGUAUACGGACGGUACACCCUCUCGCCUCCGCUACAGCCCGUAUCAUCUCUGACCUGACUCCACGUUUCUUGCACACCCAGUUUUCGACUCCCUGCCCUUCGGAAG
Molecule: unclassified non-coding RNA, 1875 nt
Filed under: Leishmania donovani
Lineage: Eukaryota; Euglenozoa; Kinetoplastea; Trypanosomatida; Trypanosomatidae
Description: gene:LdHU3.36.5360(CDS-product:aminomethyltransfe rase_mitochondrial_putative)
Source: RNAcentral